This 270-nucleotide ribosomal RNA is filed under the name uncultured archaeon. Its description in RNAcentral is "partial 16S ribosomal RNA". It matches the Rfam family "Archaeal small subunit ribosomal RNA", at positions 477 to 747 of the family's 1478-position model. The record is from RNAcentral.
CAGCACCUCAAGUGGUCAGGAUGAUUAUUGGGCCUAAAGCAUCCGUAGCCGGCGCUGUAAGUUUUCGGUUAAAUCUGUACGCUUAACGUACAGGCUGCCGGGAAUACUGCAGAGCUAGGGAGUGGGAGAGGUAGACGGUACUCGGUAGGAAGGGGUAAAAUCCUUUGAUCUAUUGAUGACCACCUGUGGCGAAGGCGGUCUACCAGAACACGUCCGACGGUGAGGGAUGAAAGCUGGGGGAGCAAACCGGAUUAGAGACCCGAGUAGUCC